This is a long non-coding RNA of Prunus persica (peach), 1564 nucleotides long. RefSeq lists it as uncharacterized. The transcript is spliced from 2 exons. NCBI's taxonomy places the organism in Eukaryota, Viridiplantae, Streptophyta, Magnoliopsida, Rosales, Rosaceae. The record is from RefSeq and is a predicted model, not a curated record.
CACACAUAAUGUAUCAACUCUUCAGAAAACAUUGGCAGAAAUUGACGCAGAGGGGGAGCUUCUACCAGAUGGAACACUUGCUGUGGGUGGCAAAGCAAUUGCAGUUGUGUUACGCACCAAAUGAUUAUCCUACUGAAUCUGUAAGCAAGUCUUACUUUCCUGCUACUCAAAUACUGAUUCUUUUUUAAGAAGAAUGUGACGUUCUUCCCUUGUAGUGGUGAGCUUCUGUUGUUCGGUAGCAGAAAAUGUAGUUACUUAUCCACAAAAAGGGUACAAAGUAGAAGAGUAAAUCUCAAGUCCAUAAAGGCAUAUGUAGAUCUGUUCUAUAUCUGUUGGGGGUGACUUUGGUGGGCUAAUCCUGCAUGUGUGUAUGAUUGGGCAUGUAAGUGUGAAUAUCUCUUGGAUGUUGUUCCAUACUUUUUACGCACACGAUCAUUCUUGUGCUUGCUUGUGUCUUUAUUUCAUUAGCUUGACUUGAAGUAUGCUUAAGAUGAUACUUAAAAGGCUACUUAUAAAAGAAAUAUGAUACUUCGAUUGCAAAAAUGUGUCCUCAGAAUAUGAUGUCUAUCGUAUGGCUUUUAGUACCAUGUUUUUUUAAUUUGUAGGAGUGGAGAGCAAGGCUGCUCAUGGAUUUGAGUUAUUCAAAUAGAUCCUAUCAUAUGUGGCGCCAAUGGGUAAUGGGUAACCCAUUGCCCAUUGCCCAUCCCUACCUGCUUUACAAGUGGCGCCACAACACAGGGACAAGUAUGAUUUGAUGGAAGUGUAAUUUUCAAAAUUCAUACGAAUGACAAAAAAAUGCUGGUCUCUUUGCAUUGCAGGCUCCAAGUAGCAAGGAAUUCUUCAUGGGGUUUUGUACACACCCAAUCUGCAAUCUGGGUUUGAUUUACUUUUAAUGACCUUGAACUCUCUCCAAUCACAAAUGAUGUUAAACCUUCUAUAUGAUAGAAUUUUACCACUCAUCUUUAGGACUGUAUUACUAAAUGGACAAUGCGGACUUUCGUGAUCUGCAGAGAUCUGUAUCUGUGGUCUUCUUCUUUUGUGUGUCUGUGUGAAUGCUCAAACGUCCGGUUCAUAUGUGAUAUCAAACCUUAGUUGAUUGCGUAACAUGAAUUUAUAGUAAUAUAUUUUAUUAAUUUCCUAACAUGAUUUUGAGAAGUCAUGGGUUAUGAGAAGACUGUCUUUUGCAGCACUGUAUUAAUUCAUAGUUGUAGAGCAGAGAGUCACUGCACCAUGAUGUCAUGGGUUAUCCGUUUUCCUUUAUUAUUUUUCCUUUUUUAACAUUGUCAGACUUGUUAACUGACUUUGCCCUUGCAGGGAUAUGUGAGUUGCAGAAUCAUGGUCAUAUCCUCAGUUUGAUGUCAAAUUUCUUCAAAUAGAAUUAAAGGUUGCUGGGCGAUUUAUUUGUUGUUCCUUUUCUCUGUGCAUGGAUCCACUUCCUAUUAGGUGUUAUAUUUAGUCAAUAGGUCUAAUUUUUGUUAUUGGAUGGAAAUUAUAAUCUGCGUAUGCUUUGCUGAAAUGCAUUUUCACUGGUUGGGCCCAAUAAGUACAAUAGUUGGUCGCUCAA